CGUUCCCGGGCCUUGUACACACCGCCCGUCACGUCACGAAAGUCGGUAACACCCGAAGCCCGUGGCUCAACCCGCAAGGGGGAGAGCGGUCGAAGGUGGGACUGGCGAUUGGGACG
Molecule: ribosomal RNA, 116 nt
Filed under: uncultured bacterium
Lineage: Bacteria
Description: partial 16S ribosomal RNA
Rfam family: Bacterial small subunit ribosomal RNA
Source: RNAcentral